This 357-nucleotide ribosomal RNA is filed under the name uncultured bacterium. RNAcentral describes it as "partial 16S ribosomal RNA". It matches the Rfam family "Bacterial small subunit ribosomal RNA", at positions 338 to 692 of the family's 1533-position model. The record is from RNAcentral.
CCUACGGGAGACAGCAGUGAGGAAUAUUGGUCAAUGGACGCAAGUCUGAACCAGCCAUGCCGCGUGAAGGAAGACGGCUCUAUGAGUUGUAAACUGCAUUUGUACGAGGGUAAAUCACGAUACGUGAAUCGGGUUGAAAGGAUCGUACGAAGAAGGAUCGGCUAACUCCGUGCCAGCAGCCGCGGUAAUACGGAGGUUUCAAGCGUUAUCCGGAUUUAUUGGGUUUAAAGGGUGCGUAGGCGGUUCGAUAAGUUAGAGGUGAAAUCCCGGGGCUCAACUCCGGCACUGCCUCUGAUACUGUCGGGCUAGAGUUUAGUUGCGGUAGGCGGACUUUCUGGUGUAGCGGUGAAAUGCAUA